This 252-nucleotide unclassified non-coding RNA is filed under the name uncultured bacterium. RNAcentral describes it as "contains 16S-23S intergenic spacer region". It matches the Rfam family "Bacterial small subunit ribosomal RNA", at positions 524 to 776 of the family's 1533-position model. The record is from RNAcentral.
AACGGAGGGGACGAGUGUUAUUCACAGUGAUUGGGCGUAAAGGGUAAGUAGACGGCCUUUUAAGUUUUCAUCGUAAAUACCACUGCACAACAGUGGCAACGUGGAAAUACUGUUAGGCUUGAGUUUGUUGGAAGUAAGCGGUACUUUUAAAGUAGAAGUGAAAAGUAUGGAUAUUAAAGGGACCCUCAAUGGCGAAGGCAGCUUACUAUGGUAAACUGACGUUCAGGUACGGAGGCAUGGGGAUCAAACAGG